Molecule: ribosomal RNA, 492 nt
Filed under: uncultured bacterium
Lineage: Bacteria
Description: partial 16S ribosomal RNA
Rfam family: Bacterial small subunit ribosomal RNA
Source: RNAcentral
AGUGAACGCUGGCGGUAGGCCUAACACAUGCAAGUCGAACGGCAGCACAGUAAGAGCUUGCUCUUACGGGUGGCGAGUGGCGGACGGGUGAGGAAUACAUCGGAAUCUACUUUUUCGUGGGGGAUAACGUAGGGAAACUUACGCUAAUACCGCAUACGACCUACGGGUGAAAGCAGGGGAUCUUCGGACCUUGCGCGAUUGAAUGAGCCGAUGUCGGAUUAGCUAGUCGGCGGGGUAAAGGCCCACCAAGGCGACGAUCCGUAGCUGGUCUGAGAGGAUGAUCAGCCACACUGGAAAUGAGACACGGUCCAGACUCCUACGGGAGGCAGCAGUGGGGAAUAUUGGACAAUGGGCGCAAGCCUGAUCCAGCCAUACCGCGUGGGUGAAGAAGGCCUUCGGGUUGUAAAGCCCUUUUGUUGGGAAAGAAAAGCAGCAGGUUAAUACCCCGCUGUUCUGACGGUACCCAAAGAAUAAGCACCGGCUAACUUCGUG